Molecule: ribosomal RNA, 261 nt
Filed under: uncultured bacterium
Lineage: Bacteria
Description: partial 16S ribosomal RNA
Rfam family: Bacterial small subunit ribosomal RNA
Source: RNAcentral
UGGCGGACGGGUGAGUAACGCGUGGGUAACCUGCCUCAUACAGGGGGAUAACAGUUGGAAACGACUGCUAAUACCGCAUAAGCCCACGGCUCGGCAUCGAGCAGAGGGAAAAGGAGUGAUCCGCUUUGAGAUGGCCUCGCGUCCGAUUAGCUGGUUGGUGAGGUAACGGCCCACCAAGGCGACGAUCGGUAGCCGGACUGAGAGGUUGAACGGCCACAUUGGGACUGAGACACGGCCCAGACUCCUACGGGAGGCAGCAUG